CUGAACUAAUGACUGAUAUUUUUGUUGGUUUAUCGGUUGGGUCAGGUCGGCUCUUAUACCGAAAGCAGGCCAUAAUAUUAUUAGUCAAAUGGAAAAACAAAGUGAUUCUAAUCUUAUAUAAAAAAAACCUCUUCCACUUGAGAAAUUUGGACCGCUGAAUUUAUGGCAUCCACCAACUGAAUAUAUGACGAACAGCACAAUCUGCAAGGGAGAUUCUGGAAAGAUGAUUUACAGAGAGAAGUAUUCAAAGAAAUAGAACUAGUAUAAGCCAGCAUUGUAUAUAUAAUGACCAACACAGUAGUUUUUCCAUGCCCCCCGCAGAGAAAAACCAGAAAAAAGGUAAAAACACAGAGGCUUAAUUCACGCCUGGCUCUCCGGAUCAGAAGGCGCAGUUAUAUAUUAUUUUAAGUAUGAUUACAGUUAUUUUUUAAAAUAUUUUUUAUUUUAAAAUAUAUUAAAAUAAUAUAUUUUUUAUUUUUUAAAAAUUAUUUUUGAUAUCAGCACAUCAAAAUAAUCUGAAAAUACUAAAAAUAUAUUAAUUUAAAAAAAAAUUUAAUUUUUUCAAAAAUAUUUUUAAAAUAUAAAAACAAACAAAAAUAAAUAUGAAAAUCAAUAUUCGUAUCUUUGAUUAGGAGGAGAAUCAAGGAUUGAUAACCCUCCUGACUAGAUAUGACAAGGAUAUUCUACUUCUUUGCACAAAAAAACAAACCAAUGACGGGAUUCGAUACCUUUUCCAUUGAAAUCUACUCGGAAGAGAAGAAAAAAGGUGUAUAAAACAAAAUGGCUGCUUUUAAUUUUUGGUGGAAUUAGAAGAAGUAACUUUCAGACACGUCAUUUUCUGAGCGCUUCUGAGAGAAGUUUUCAAUUUGUUUUUCCCUGAAAAGAAUAAAAUUAUUUAAAUAAUUUUGAUGCGACGUGAAAAUUAUAAAAAAAUUGAAAAAAAUAUUAAUUUAAAUAAAAAACACUGUCUUUGGGUCCUUGCAGCUCCUUUAAUUACUGGGGUGUGGCAUGCUCGUCCGGAUGUAUAAAACAAAUAGGGUUAUGGAUAAAAAGAAAAGAAAAUUAAAUGAAGGGAUGUGCAAAACCAACUUCAUUUGCAAGGUAUAAGUGCUUUUCGUGCGGUUGGUGAGAGAUGUUUUCACAACUUUAAUAUGCCACAAGGAGAUUGCUUUAAUUUUAUUUAUUUUUAGCCCUACACUGUUUAUAUUCUGGACUGUGAUGUAAAAUAGUUUUUAAAAUAGUUUUUUAUUUGAAAAUAUAUUAAAAUAUUAUUUUUAGUUUUUUUUAUUUUUAAUAUCAACAUAUUAAAAUUUUAAAAAAAUAUUAAAAAAAAUAAUUUAAUAUAUUUUAAAUAAAAAAUACUGAAACAUAAAUAUAAAUUCUCUUGAAAUACCGUCGUAUAUCCGAAAACUUCAUUUUAACACUAACCUAAAAAAAAGGUUGUGAGAGAGAGAAAAAACUUUUCGUGAAUAUGCAUCAUACACUAACCAGACAACUAAUCGAAAACCUAAUCAUAGAAAUCUUGGUGUGCAGAGAUUGAUCAAAGAUGCUAUUAUCAGUAAAAAAAUAGGAAGACGAAACUACCUUUCUUCUUUUUGAAGAAUCAAAGGGAGUAAAGAUGACAUCUUUUCUUCGCCUAAUAUACCUGUGUCUCUCAAUGAGCUGAUGGGCUACCUUUGUAGCUUUACGAGAAUCACAUGGCAGAACAAUUUUGAGCUAUUUCCCAGCCCAAAGCAGUUCUCCUUCGUGGUAUGUAAGCCGGGAAAAACAUAAAAAGGUCAAAAUAAUGAAAAGCAGGUCUAAACACAGCCCCUGCCUCUCUUUUUACAGAAAAAAAGUCAAAAUUAGGCAUCGAACCCAGC
RNAcentral lists this long non-coding RNA (1862 nucleotides) under Populus trichocarpa (black cottonwood). RNAcentral's name for it is "long non-coding RNA (PTRI_LNC002077)". The record is from RNAcentral. Lineage: Eukaryota; Viridiplantae; Streptophyta; Magnoliopsida; Malpighiales; Salicaceae.